ACAGCUCAAAUUUGAAAGCUAGCCUUCGGGUUCGCAUUGUAAUUUGUAGAGGAUGAUUUGGGGAAGCCGCCUGUCUAAGUUCCUUGGAACAGGACGUCAUAGAGGGUGAGAAUCCCGUAUGUGACAGGAAAUGGCACCCUAUGUAAAUCUCCUUCGACGAGUCGAGUUGUUUGGGAAUGCAGCUCUAAAUGGGAGGUAAAUUUCUUCUAAAGCUAAAUAUUGGCGAGAGACCGAUAGCGCACAAGUAGAGUGAUCGAAAGAUGAAAAGCACUUUGGAAAGAGAGUUAAAAAGCACGUGAAAUUGUUGAAAGGGAAGCGCUUGCAAUCAGACUUGUUUAAACUGUUCGGCCGGUCUUCUGACCGGUUUACUCAGUUUGGACAGGCCAGCAUCAGUUUCGGCGGCCGGAUAAAGGCUCUGGGAAUGUGGCCUCCACUUCGGUGGAGGUGUUAUAGCCCAGGGUGUAAUACGGCCAGCCGGGACUGAGGUCCGCGCUUCGGCUAGGAUGCUGGCGUAAUGGUU
Molecule: ribosomal RNA, 520 nt
Filed under: Aureobasidium proteae
Lineage: Eukaryota; Fungi; Ascomycota; Dothideomycetes; Dothideales; Saccotheciaceae
Description: eukaryotic LSU rRNA
Rfam family: Eukaryotic large subunit ribosomal RNA
Source: RNAcentral